Molecule: ribosomal RNA, 253 nt
Filed under: uncultured bacterium
Lineage: Bacteria
Description: partial 16S ribosomal RNA
Rfam family: Bacterial small subunit ribosomal RNA
Source: RNAcentral
UACGUAGGGGGCUAGCGUUGUCCGGAUUUAUUGGGCGUAAAGAGCGUGUAGGCGGCCAGGUAGGUCUGCUGUGAAAACUCGAGGCUUAACCUCGAGAUGUCAUCGGAAACCAUCUGGCUAGAGUCCGGAAGAGGAAAGUGGAAUUCCUGGUGUAGCGGUGAAAUGCGCAGAUAUCAGGAAGAACACCAAUGGCGAAAGCAGCUUUCUGGGACGGUACUGACGCUGAGACGCGAAAGCGUGGGGAGCGAACAGG